Molecule: ribosomal RNA, 734 nt
Filed under: Triticum aestivum (bread wheat)
Lineage: Eukaryota; Viridiplantae; Streptophyta; Magnoliopsida; Poales; Poaceae
Description: partial small subunit ribosomal RNA
Source: RNAcentral
AAUUUUCUAGUAUCUCAUAGCCUUGAAAUUCACUAACAUCCAUUACUCGUAGUCUCGUACUCAUACUCGUAUACAUAUGGCAGACUUGCAAACCAGCAUCUGAUUAAAACAAUCGACCAACCGGCAAUACCCCAUAAUAUGUUCCUCACUUUCUUAACAUCAUAAGAGUUAACUGGAUUGUACAAAAGAGAACGGAGAGGCAAAGGAUUAUCUUUCUUUUUUGUACAGAACGGAGGAGGGAAAGAGAGCCUGCCGAGGGUCAGACAGCGGCACCGGAUAGCGGAGAUUGGCAGGAGAGCCAGAGAGCGACAAAGGCAGCGCUCUCGGCUCAAUCCCUCCAUGGAUGCCUGCUUCUCCUGGUUGGUCUCGUGGAGCCGUGGACGUCGACGAACAAGAUUGGAGCCAUCCCAACCUGGCAACCUCGUCCGCACCACACCCUCAGGUCGUAGGGGGAGACGGCACAUGGCGAGCCAGGCCGGGGCGCUCGGACUGCCGUGGCCGGCGGAGGCCUCGGCCGUUGUACCCGGGGUGUGGGUGGCGCACGCAGGGCCGACCUUAGGCAGCGGCGGUGCGCCCCCGCCAUCGAUGUUGUAGAUUUUCGAGGAGAGGUCAAUGGCGGCGUGAAUAUGGCCAUGCCGGCGGGGCCGAUUGACGCCAGCGCUCUCGAGGUUGGGCUGGAGCUGGGGGGUGGCAAGGGGAUCGGAGCGGCUGGAGGGGAGGAUGCUCUGGGCGGC